GUUUGAUUAGAGGUUAGAGGUUAGAUGAUCUUGUUGGAUUUAAGCUUGCUUCUUUCUCCUCUUGUGCUAGCUGGUUUGGAGCUAUUAGAGAAGUGUGGGAAGAGGUAUUUGGCAGUGUUUUCUCAACCAUUAACUCAGCAAGACCUGAGUUGAAGCUUUGGAAAGCUGAACAGGGGAAACUUGUAGCAGCUGUAGAGGAGGUGAUUUGGCUGUGAUAUUUCAAUCCUAGCUCAGUCAAAACUGAGUUAGAGCUGGACAAGCAGAAUUUGCAGCAGGUUAUUGAAUUCCUUUGGCAGAAUUUCGUGACCUUUAGAAUGGUAAUUUUGAUGUGCUCCAACCUGAAUUGAAGUGGAAUUCAAGUUGGAUUCUAUCCUAGAGCCUUUCACAGCGUGAAAGGUUAGGGUUCCUGGCAAGGGGUCAGCGGAUAGCUAGAGCCUCCUCGAUGUUAAAUAGAUGGAAUCAUACAAGUUUUUCUAGUUUAGUUCAGUAUUGUAUAUUGAGACUAUGUAGCGUGUACUUUUCUUUUAAGUUAUAAUAAGGUUAUGUGUUGUAUAAGUUUA
Molecule: long non-coding RNA, 560 nt
Organism: Ananas comosus (pineapple)
Lineage: Eukaryota; Viridiplantae; Streptophyta; Magnoliopsida; Poales; Bromeliaceae
Exons: 4
Source: RefSeq, a predicted model, not a curated record